RNAcentral lists this unclassified non-coding RNA (919 nucleotides) under Hevea brasiliensis (rubber tree). The record is from RNAcentral. Lineage: Eukaryota; Viridiplantae; Streptophyta; Magnoliopsida; Malpighiales; Euphorbiaceae.
GUUAAUAUAUGCUGUGCACAUUCUUUUAAGCCUGUCACUGGAGCUUGAAAAAUCUGUGCUUUAUUAUGUGGCAACUGAUAAUAAGUUGAGUUGCUAAUGGUGUUUUCUUGGUAAAUCAAAUACAAUGCUGUGCUGAAAAUUGAAAUGGAUAGGUAGAGAGAUGAUUUUUGGCUCUCACAUGGAGUUUGGUGCAAUUGUGUGUAAUGCCUAUUGGUUGACAUUCAUAUGCACACACAGGGACAGAAAAAUUAGGUGGAAAUGGUAUUGGCAUGGCAUUUAAUUUCUGGGCUCCUGAACCAGGAUGACAUUUUAGAGUAUGAAAAACAUGCUGCCAAAUUACUAAAAUCAAGGUGUAUCAGUGGCACAAUAUAGGCUUGUGCUUGCUAAAACAUUGAGAAUUUGAGGACAUUCAAAUUUCAAUUUAUCUCGUUUCAGUGAUUCAGUCUUCUGGACAAGUGGAAUCAUUUCAGUUUAGCUAAAUAACUAUUGCAUUCCAAUUUUGAGUUUAUUUGCAUUUAUUUGAUUUUGUUAUGUUGCUAAAUUCAAGUGCAUUCCACACUCGUAUACCUUAAAAAAAAAAUGAGGCACUUGAUGCUCUAUAGGAAAUUCACUCUUCAGUUUAAUUAUGGCUAUUAUUUUCUGAGCGGUUAUCUUCUCAUUGGCAUAUUUCAUGUGAAUAACUGCUUUUUCAAUGUCCAUGGAAUUUUAUUAAUGAAAUUUGCUAAAUAAAUAAAUAAUAUAAAUUUUUGUUAAUCUUGUGACUGGUAGAUUGGCCAAAACAUCAAUGAUGCAUGAACAUGUGCAGUCUGAAACCUAUUUCUCUACCAUGGUUGCAGGUGUUAUCUAAUGUGAUAUAUAGUCUCUUGGAGCCUAUCUGAUGAUUUGUUCAUUGAUAUAGGACUCAGUAGUUGGAUUUUUG